RNAcentral lists this ribosomal RNA (397 nucleotides) under uncultured Neocallimastigomycetes. Its description in RNAcentral is "eukaryotic LSU rRNA". It matches the Rfam family "Eukaryotic large subunit ribosomal RNA", at positions 127 to 520 of the family's 3401-position model. The record is from RNAcentral. Lineage: Eukaryota; Fungi; Neocallimastigomycota; Neocallimastigomycetes.
GUUUUACCUUGACGAAUUGUAGUUUAAAGAAGUGUUUUCUGUUAAAGUUUUGGUAAAAGUUCUUUGGAAUAGGACAUCAUAGAGGGUGAGAAUCCCGUAUUUGACCAUUAUUUUCAGCUGUGUGAUACACUUUCAAAGAGUCGGAUUGUUUGGGAAUGCAGUCCAAAAUGGGUGGUAAAUUUCAUCUAAAGCUAAAUAUUGGCGAGAGACCGAUAGCGAACAAGUACCGUGAGGGAAAGAUGAAAAGAACUUUGAAAAGAGAGUUAAACAGUACGUGAAAUUGUCAAAAGGGAAGCGUUUGACACCAGUGUUGUUUUCUCGAAAAUCAAUUAAAAAAAGUUGGACUUUGUGUUGUAUUGACCUUAACAGCUUUCUGCACUCUUUUCCUGCUUUUUUU